This 296-nucleotide unclassified non-coding RNA is filed under the name fungal sp. Its description in RNAcentral is "partial internal transcribed spacer region". The stretch from base 1 to 46 matches the Rfam family "Eukaryotic small subunit ribosomal RNA", at positions 1786 to 1831 of the family's 1831-position model. Lineage: Eukaryota; Fungi. The record is from RNAcentral.
AAGUCGUAACAAGGUAACCGUAGGUGAACCUGCGGUUGGAUCAUUAAAAAAAAUUGAAGCUUCAACCCUUUCAAGGGUAGAAGCGUCAGUGCUCCUCUAACAAGGAGCUUGACUACUCCAAUUUUGUGAACUUGCAACCAAAAAAUGUUUUGAUAGUGGUGAAAGAUUUGGGCAUUACCAGCCCAAGUUUUUCCCUUCUUGAAAAAAUUGUUAACCCUGAAGAAAUAACUUGUCUUUACCGUUUUUUAUAAAUAAAAAUUAAUAAACAACUUUUGACAACGGAUCUCUUGGUUCUC